RNAcentral lists this ribosomal RNA (373 nucleotides) under uncultured bacterium. Its description in RNAcentral is "bacterial SSU rRNA". It matches the Rfam family "Bacterial small subunit ribosomal RNA", at positions 29 to 428 of the family's 1533-position model. The record is from RNAcentral.
AACGAACGCUGGCGGCAGGCUUAACACAUGCAAGUCGAACGCGUGUAGCAAUACACGAGUGGCGCACGGGUGAGUAACGCGUGGAUAUCUGCCUUUUGGUUCGGAAUAACCCCGGGAAACUGGGGCUAAUACCGGAUGGUUCCUUCGGGAUAAAGAUUUAUCGCCAAAAGAUGAGUCCGCGUACGAUUAGCUAGUUGGUGAGGUAAUGGCUCACCAAGGCGACGAUCGUUAGCUGGUCNGAGAGGACGAUCAGCCACACUGGGACUGAGACACGGCCCAGACUCCUACGGGAGGCAGCAGUGGGGAAUUUUGGACAAUGGGGGCAACCCUGAUCCAGCCAUGCCGCGUGAGCGAAGAAGGCCUUCGGUUGUAA